RNAcentral lists this ribosomal RNA (433 nucleotides) under uncultured bacterium. Its description in RNAcentral is "partial 16S ribosomal RNA". It matches the Rfam family "Bacterial small subunit ribosomal RNA", at positions 29 to 507 of the family's 1533-position model. The record is from RNAcentral.
AACGAAUGCUGGCGGCAGGCCUAACACAUGCAAGUCGAGCGAGGACUUCGGUCCUAGCGGCGGACGGGUGAGUAACGCGUGGGAACGUGCCCUUUGCUUCGGAAUAGCCCUGGGAAACUGGGAGUAAUACCGGAUGAGCCCUUUGGGGGAAAGAUUUAUCGGCGAAGGAUCGGCCCGCGUUGGAUUAGGUAGUUGGUGGGGUAAUGGCCUACCAAGCCGACGAUCCAUAGCUGGUUUGAGAGGAUGAUCAGCCACACUGGGACUGAGACACGGCCCAGACUCCUACGGGAGGCAGCAGUGGGGAAUCUUAGACAAUGAGGGAAACCCUGAUCUAGCCAUGCCGCGUGAGCGAUGAAGGCCUUAGGGUUGUAAAGCUCUUUCAGCUGGGAAGAUAAUGACGGUACCAGCAGAAGAAGCCCCGGCUAACUCCGUG